Molecule: ribosomal RNA, 931 nt
Filed under: uncultured bacterium
Lineage: Bacteria
Description: bacterial SSU rRNA
Rfam family: Bacterial small subunit ribosomal RNA
Source: RNAcentral
AGAGUUUGAUCCUGGCUCAGAACGAACGCUGGCGGCGUGCCUAACACAUGCAAGUCGAGCGAGAAAGCCCGCAAGGGUGAGUAAAGCGGCGCACGGGUGCGUAACACGUGGGUAAUCUGCCCUGAAGUCCGGAAUAACUCGCCGAAAGGCGUGCUAAUGCCGGAUGAGACCACGGGAGCUUCGGCUCCUGCGGGAAAAGGUGGCCUCUGUAUACAAGCUAUCACUUCAGGAUGAGCCCGCGGCCCAUCAGCUCGUUGGCGGGGUAAUGGCCCACCAAGGCUACGACGGGUAGCUGGUCUGAGAGGACGAUCAGCCACACUGGAACUGAGACACGGUCCAGACUCCUACGGGAGGCAGCAGUGGGGAAUCUUGCGCAAUGGGCGAAAGCCUGACGCAGCAACGCCGCGUGUGUGAUGAAGGUCUUCGGAUCGUAAAGCACUGUCGCGAGGGACGAAUAAGGGGCGGGCUAACAUCCCGUUCCGAUGACGGUACCUCGAGAGGAAGCACCGGCUAACUCUGUGCCAGCAGCCGCGGUAAUACAGAGGGUGCAAGCGUUGUUCGGAAUUAUUGGGCGUAAAGCGCGUGUAGGCGGCUUUGUAAGUUGGGUGUGAAAGCCCUCGGCUUAACCGAGGAAGUGCGCCCAAAACUGCAUGGCUUGAGUACCGGAGAGGGUGGCGGAAUUCCCGGUGUAGAGGUGAAAUUCGUAGAUAUCGGGAGGAACACCAGCGGCGAAGGCGGCCACCUGGACGGAUACUGACGCUGAGACGCGAAAGCGUGGGGAGCAAACAGGAUUAGAUACCCUGGUAGUCCACGCCGUAAACGAUGAGCGCUAGGUGUUGUGGGUGUUGACCCCUGCAGUGCCGCAGCUAACGCAUUAAGCGCUCCGCCUGGGAAGUACGGCCGCAAGGCUAAAACUCAAAGGAAUUGAUGG